CGCAUUAUGAAGCGUGAAACACGGCAACAGAGACCCCGGACUGUUGAACAGCUGAAGCUGUACAUCAAGCAAGAAUGGGAAAGAAUUCCACCUACAAAAAUUCGAAAAGGGUCGCGGGCGUGCUGGAGCCUAUCCCAGCUGUCAUCGGGCAGGAGGCGGGGUACACCCUGAACUGGUUGCCAGCCAAUCGCAGGGCACAUACAAACAAACAACCAUUCGCACUCACAUUCACACCUAUGGGAAAUUUAGAGUCUCCAAUUAAUGCAUGUUUUUGGGAUGUGGGAGGAAACCGGAGUGCCCGGAGAAAACCCACGCAGGCACGGGGGAGAAGAUGCAAACUCCACACAGGCGGGGCCGGGGAUUGAACCCGGGUCCUCAGAACUGUGAGGCUGACGCUCUAACCAGUCGUCCACCGUGCCGCCUCAAGCAGACUAGUAAAUUUCAAUUUUCAGUGCUUCAGCAAUUAAUAGAAUUAAAAACUUCCACUGGGCAUAUGAAAAUAAACUCAUCAUUCAGUACAAUGCACAAACUUAGCUGAGGAGACUAUAAACUCCCAUGAAAAAUAAAACCACUUCCAAAUAGAGUAGUGCCUGCUGCAAUUAGUGGAUGACUAUUAGUUGUUAAGAUGAGUCAAGUCUUGUAACUCAGUCAAUGUAAUCAAAUCAAGUACCGGCAAGCAUGACAGUGGAAACUAAGUCAACAGCUAAUCCAAAAAUUGGACUAUGAUCAGCAAAUACAAAAGAUUGAGCUGCAUGUAAGAACAAAACAACACAAAAUUCAGACUGUGAGAGACUCUAUUAAAGAAUAAUGAUGA
Molecule: long non-coding RNA, 814 nt
Organism: Phyllopteryx taeniolatus (common seadragon)
Lineage: Eukaryota; Metazoa; Chordata; Actinopteri; Syngnathiformes; Syngnathidae
Exons: 2
Source: RefSeq, a predicted model, not a curated record